UAGGGAAUCUUCGGCAAUGGACGAAAGUCUGACCGAGCAACGCCGCGUGAGUGAAGAAGGUUUUCGGAUCGUAAAACUCUGUUGUUAGAGAAGAACAAGGAAGUUAGUAACUGAACGUCCCCUGACGGUAUCUAACCAGAAAGCCACGGCUAACGACGUGCCAGCAGCCGCGGUAAUACGUAGGUGGCAAGCGUUGUCCGGAUUUAUUGGGCGUAAAGCGAGCGCAGGCUGUUUCUUAAGUCUGAUGUGAAAGCCCCCGGCUCAACCGGGGAGGGUCAUUGUAAACUGGGAGACUUGAGUGCAGAAGAGGAGAGUUGAAUUCCAUGUGUAGCGGUGAAAUGCGUAGAUAUAUGGAGGAACACCAGUGGCGAAGGCGGCUCUCUGGUCUGUAACUGACGCUGAGGCUCGAAAGCGUGGGGAGCAAACAGG
This 429-nucleotide ribosomal RNA is filed under the name Gemmatimonadota bacterium. RNAcentral's name for it is "Gemmatimonadetes bacterium partial 16S ribosomal RNA". It matches the Rfam family "Bacterial small subunit ribosomal RNA", at positions 355 to 776 of the family's 1533-position model. Lineage: Bacteria; Pseudomonadati; Gemmatimonadota. The record is from RNAcentral.